RNAcentral lists this long non-coding RNA (969 nucleotides) under Homo sapiens (human). Its description in RNAcentral is "non-protein coding lnc-ETS2-2:5". Lineage: Eukaryota; Metazoa; Chordata; Mammalia; Primates; Hominidae. The record is from RNAcentral.
AGCCCCGGGGGUCCCUGGGCAUCCCUGGGAGGUCCUGCAGGUCCAUGGAGAAGGUGGAACACUGGACUAAAGAGACAGGCUGAGGAAGCCCUCAAGUCACCCCUGAUGGAGGCCAGACCUUGAAUGUUACAAUCCCUCUGCUUAUCGACCCUUAAUAAAAAUCUGAGCAGGUCUUCUCUGCAGGACACAGGAGGCUUUCUGGAAAAAAAAACAUGGAAAAAAAGUCCGGAAGUGCUCGACCAAGAGAUCGCGAGAUGGGAGCAGAGAGUACAGGAAAGGAAGGAGGAGAAAGAAAGGCUGGAAACCUUUGAAUGCACAAAAAAAACAGGUCAUGAAAGAUACCACGAGCCAACUAAAAUCUCUGGCUGAAAAUGUGCUGGACACCAUGCAGUUGGAAGAUUUCACUAGGGACCGCAGUGAUGAGGGGAACUUGGAAGCAGAGCUAAAGAGGAAAGCAGAAAAUGAAGAAACCACCCCCUUAAAAAUUAAGUAAAUUUUUUUAAAGUUAUGUGCAUACAUUCUGUAUAUACAGAAAAGAUAUCUAAAUUGUAUGCACGCAGAAGGAGCAUUGCCCCCACAAGGAACAGUUCAUGCUAAAUGGUGCAGAUGAAGAGACUUUGACAAAGGAAGUUUCCUGAGCUGUGGGCAGGGAUGAGAGCUCAGACAAAUGAUGGGAAGCCUCCCAGAUGCCAAGGUUUCCCACCCCCAGGUUUCAAGGGAGGAGAGAGGAAGUGAUGUCAUCUGAGCCCAGUGAGGCCCUGUCAAGGGACCAGGGAAAACUGCCCCCACUUUUUGCUCCCAUCCUCUCAUUGACUGCAGGUGCACAGGCAGCUGCCUGAAAGAGGGCCUGCGAAGUGCAAGCCAGAGGAGUUGGCCUCCAUGGCACAGAGCAGGCAGAAAACAAAUUUGGAGAAUGACCAGCACUCUUGGGUUUAUUUGACUGAAAGUGCUUGUUUUAUUGCAUUCACU